GUAGGGAAUCUUCCGCAAUGGACGAAAGUCUGACGGAGCAACGCCGCGUGAGUGAUGAAGGUUUUCGGAUCGUAAAGCUCUGUUGCCAGGGAAGAACGUCUUAGAGAGUAACUGCUCUAAGAGUGACGGUACCUGAGAAGAAAGCCCCGGCUAACUACGUGCCAGCAGCCGCGGUAAUACGUAGGGGGCGAGCGUUGUCCGGAAUUAUUGGGCGUAAAGCGCGCGCAGGCGGCUGUUUAAGUCUGGUGUUUAAUCCUGGGGCUCAACCCCGGGUCGCACUGGAAACUGGACGGCUUGAGUGCAGAAGAGGAGAGUGGAAUUCCACGUGUAGCGGUGAAAUGCGUAGAGAUGUGGAGGAACACCAGUGGCGAAGGCGACUCUCUGGGCUGUAACUGACGCUGAGGCGCGAAAGCGUGGGGAGCAAACAGGAUUAGAAACCCUAGUAGUCC
This 449-nucleotide ribosomal RNA is filed under the name uncultured bacterium. RNAcentral describes it as "bacterial SSU rRNA". It matches the Rfam family "Bacterial small subunit ribosomal RNA", at positions 354 to 796 of the family's 1533-position model. The record is from RNAcentral.